Molecule: long non-coding RNA, 299 nt
Filed under: Vigna radiata
Lineage: Eukaryota; Viridiplantae; Streptophyta; Magnoliopsida; Fabales; Fabaceae
Description: long non-coding RNA (VRAD_LNC007253)
Source: RNAcentral
ACUCUAAUGAUUAUUGAAAUAUAUCAAAUAUUCUAUUAAUAAAUAUUAAAUAAUCAAAUAUUUUAUUAGAUAUUAUUAUAAUUCCUACAUACAGUUUUAUUUUUGUAAUAGACGAGAAGUUAUAUGAUCUUUAUACAACAUAAGGUCUUCGGCUUAUGUGCGUAACCUCUUUUUUCUUUCUGUUUCUAUUUUUUCUUCUAACUUCUUCUGUCCUUCUAUUUUGUUUUUUUUUUCUUUAUUACUCUUCCUCAAGUUCUGAUUUCAAUACCCAUUUUAUGUUGUAUUUUGUUUACCGGCCC